RNAcentral lists this transfer RNA (74 nucleotides) under Gammaproteobacteria bacterium. RNAcentral describes it as "tRNA-Gly". It matches the Rfam family "tRNA". Rfam says of the family: Transfer RNA (tRNA) molecules are approximately 80 nucleotides in length. Their secondary structure includes four short double-helical elements and three loops (D, anti-codon, and T loops). Lineage: Bacteria; Pseudomonadati; Pseudomonadota; Gammaproteobacteria. The record is from RNAcentral.
GCGGGUGUAGUUCAAUGGUAGAACUUCAGCUUCCCAAGCUGAUAACGAGGGUUCGAUUCCCUUCACCCGCUCCA